RNAcentral lists this small nucleolar RNA (92 nucleotides) under Pteropus vampyrus (large flying fox). RNAcentral's name for it is "Small nucleolar RNA U3 (ENSPVAG00000030237.1)". It matches the Rfam family "Small nucleolar RNA U3", at positions 1 to 71 of the family's 219-position model. Rfam says of the family: Small nucleolar RNAs (snoRNAs) are involved in the processing and modification of rRNA in the nucleolus. Lineage: Eukaryota; Metazoa; Chordata; Mammalia; Chiroptera; Pteropodidae. The record is from RNAcentral.
AAGACUAUACUUUCAGGGAUCAUUUCUAUAGUUCGUUACUAGAAAAGUUUCCUUGAAUGUGUCUUGUAAAAUAGCUGGUCAAUAAAUGUAUC